AAGGCCCAGGGCGAAGCAACCAAACCCUUCGCGAGAUCAGAAGCGAAACCCUAGCGGCGAAUCCCCACACGACGCGCCGGAGCGGGGAGAGGGGCCAUGGCGGCGGCGGCGGCGGCGGUGGAGAAGGUCAAGGCGCUCUGGGACUCGCAGGUCAACGACGAGGAGGCUUGGGCGUUCAACUACAAGCUGAUGAAGGCUGGUGGUCUGUUUGUUGCAUCCAUCUUCGUGAUGCGCAACUUUGGUGACCUGAUGGCCAUCUAAAGAGGAGCUGAUGCGACAGUAACGUGGAUCCACCAGAGCUGUGUGUCUUGUUAGCUGUUAGUUUUCACUUUUAUGUCAGCAACGCAACCAGACUUGUUCUUAGGAUCAUGAAUUACAAACUGCUCACUCGAGAAUUGAGAUAGUUUUCAUGAUAUAAUGGAAGCCAGAGUGCUACUGGUUUUGUGAAUCAGCAGGCGAAUCUGCGAAAACUCAAUUGGGAUAUCCUUUAGUUGAGACUGGCCAAGUUCUCUACACUCCAAUCCAUGAUGUAGUGCAUUGUACUAGUUGUUGCAUUGUGUUGAUGACUUGCUGUGAAAUCUUUAUCUCACUGAUAUCGAUUAUGCAUGUUAUUCUUUCGUG
This is a non-coding RNA of Oryza sativa Japonica Group (Japanese rice), 621 nucleotides long. Lineage: Eukaryota; Viridiplantae; Streptophyta; Magnoliopsida; Poales; Poaceae. The record is from RefSeq and is a predicted model, not a curated record.